UGGGGAAUAUUGCACAAUGGGGGAAACCCUGAUGCAGCCAUGCCGCGUGUGUGAAGAAGGCCCUAGGGUUGUAAAGCACUUUCAGUAGGGAGGAAAGGGUGUUGAUUAAUACUCAACAUCUGUGACGUUACCUGCAGAAGAAGCACCGGCUAACUUCGUGCCAGCAGCCGCGGUAAUACGAGGGGUGCAAGCGUUAAUCGGAAUUACUGGGCGUAAAGCGUGCGUAGGCGGUUUGUUAAGCAAGAUGUGAAAGCCCAGGGCUCAACCUUGGAACUGCAUUUUGAACUGGCAAACUAGAGUACUGUAGAGGGUGGUGGAAUUUCCAGUGUAGCGGUGAAAUGCGUAGAGAUUGGAAGGAACAUCAGUGGCGAAGGCGGCCACCUGGACAGAUACUGACGCUGAGGCACGAAAGCGUGGGGAGCAAACAGGAUUAGAUACCCUGGUAGUCCACGCCGUAAACGAUGUCAACUAGCCGUCUGUUGCCUUGAGCAGUGGGUGGCGUAGCUAACGCGCUAAGUUGACCGCCUGGGGAGUACGGCCGCAAGGUUAAAACUCAAAUGAAUUGACGGGGGCCCGCACAAGCGGUGGAGCAUGUGGUUUAAUUCGAUGCAACGCGAAGAACCUUACCAUCCCUUGACAUCCUGCGAAUUUUCUAGAGAUAGAAUUGUGCCUUCGGGAACGCAGUGACAGGUGCUGCAUGGCU
This 703-nucleotide ribosomal RNA is filed under the name uncultured Gammaproteobacteria bacterium. RNAcentral's name for it is "bacterial SSU rRNA". It matches the Rfam family "Bacterial small subunit ribosomal RNA", at positions 355 to 1050 of the family's 1533-position model. Lineage: Bacteria; Pseudomonadati; Pseudomonadota; Gammaproteobacteria. The record is from RNAcentral.